GGAGAGGCCAUGGGUCAAUGGUAGAACAUCUGCUUGAUAUGCAGAAGGUCCUGGGUUCAGUUCAUAGCAUCUCCA
Molecule: transfer RNA, 75 nt
Filed under: Sphaerodactylus townsendi
Lineage: Eukaryota; Metazoa; Chordata; Lepidosauria; Squamata; Sphaerodactylidae
Description: tRNA-Ile
Rfam family: tRNA
About the family: Transfer RNA (tRNA) molecules are approximately 80 nucleotides in length.
Source: RNAcentral